CAAAUCUUUGGUGUGUAUUUGCAAAUGCCAAAGAGAAACAUAAAAGAAUGGUUUUCCUAUGGAACACUGAAGAAAAAUGUCGAUCCUGAUCUUUCCUCUGUCUCCUGCUUGCCCCCUGCCCUACGAGGCCAAGCAGCCAAGCAAGUGGUCAACAGGUGGCCUCUCCGAGCAGAACCGUUUCAGAUGUUUAAGAGAAAUGACAUUUUAGGAGUGGAGCAAUGAGCUCAACUUUCUGUGACAAACUUCAGGGGUACUUGUUUAAAAGCAUGUUAUUUGUGCUUCACCCACAAAGGUUCCAAUUUGGAAGAGCUGAACUGGGCCCAGGAAUGUAUAUCCUUUGUGUGUCCAGGAGGAGGUGUGGGUGGAGAUAAGCAGCUCCUUGACCACACUUCAAGCAACAACUGGGGUGUGAUUCUGAGGCAUGUCUUCUCCUCCUCCAUUGACUUUCUCCUCUCCAAAGGGUUAUCACUGGUGUGACCAGCUCCUCCAGAGGUACCUAAGGUGAUCUCAUAGCAAAGACCCACGCCCUGGACCCAUCCUGCUAGUGAUGAAUCUGAAGGUUCUGAAGGUUCUGUGCAUAACCAUGUGGAGCCUGAGUGCACAGGGGCCCAGAGCUAUCCUGAUUUCUAAUCUGGAGCUCUUUUGUCUCUACCAAACUGCUUCUUUAUUGAAACUUUACAUCCUGAGGGGUUCACUGAAUAACAGCGACCCCAAGGCACCUAGAAACAAGCAAUGUCAUGUUUCUGUACUUGGAUUAGAAAACAGGAAGGGAAGGCAGGAGAGUGUGUGGUGUAUCUUAGAAAAACUUUUUAAACGUGAUACAAUCUGAGGAAAAUUUGCAUUGAUGCCAGUAGAGGGCUAGAUAGCUUUAAAAUUGAUCAUUUAAAUGUAUUGACGUAGAAACGUAUUCACAAUAUACUUUAAAUGGAAAGCUGUGUUAGGGUCAAGUCUUACAAUGCGAUUCCACGGUUGCACUGCCACACACACACACUUACAUAUGUGCCCAGAAAAGCAUUGGAAGUAAACCACGUCCUCCUGUUAAUAGCAAUUGUUUCUGGGUGGUGGAGUUUAGGGGAACUGAUGCACUUUUUUCUUUGGUUUUGCCCAUCUGUACUGUAACUUUCCCCGAACAAAUGUGCAUCACUUGUGUCAUAAUUUACUUUUUUUAAAUACAUGGAAACAACCACAGUCUGUAUUUAUUCUCUGGUUAAAGUGCUAAGCCUUGUAAUCUAGAAUAUUCAUCUGUCCGAGACUGUACCCUGGGACUCAUCUCACGAUGAGACAUUUGGCCUCCUCCCCAACUCAGUUUCAGAAUUCAUCUGCUGGAUUUCUGAGUCCCACUGAGUGAUUAAUGUCACACGGGUGACAAGGCAUGACUCAUAGGCACCAAGAAAGCAGCAGCAGUGUGUGCAGGCCGGGAAGUUGCCACAGCCCUCACUCAGGGCUUCAUGCACGCCAGGGCAGUCCUGGGUCAAUGGUCUCUUUCCCCUCCUCCUGUUGGAUAGAUGAAGAGGCCUGAGCAGGAAGGUGGUGGUUCCGUGGGGAAUCUUCAGUGACUGGAGUAUGUUGUAAGGAUGGUGAAUCGUCACUUGGCCAGCCAGGGUUUGGCAGUCAAGACAGAGAGCAGUGUCUGGGCCCACAGCAUGAGAGACUGCUGGACUUCAGUCUUCGGAGCAGGCAAGAACGGGGAGCUUCUGUGGAUUUCUAUUCCUGUCGCCUGUCACUGUGAACAGUGCCCAGUACUGCUGGUCAGUAAAUGUUUGCUAAAAUACUGAGCAACCAAGGAAGUGACUUCAGUUGAACUCUGUACCUGUUGUGUUCACUUCCUUUGCAACAUGCGUGACUAAUGGUUACUCCUUCUCUUGAAUGCUUCCAGAAGAGUAGCACUCACCACCUCAUGAGGAAAGGCACUGCAACUUUGGUCAAUGAUAUCUGUUAGAAAGAUCUUUUCCUAUAUUUAGAAGAGUGAUUCUCAUACCUGAGCAUGUAUGAGAAUCAGUGGGUUUGAGGUGGGCCCAAGAAUUUCCCUUUCUAACAAGUUCCCAGAAGAUGCUGAUGUGGCAGCUUCUAGCACAGUGCUUGGAAAUCCAUGAGUUUUCAAGAGGACAAUCUAAAGUGUUCCUUUGUUUUCCUUUACUUCCCCUCAUUCUCAAAUCCUAUGGGGAUGACACAGAGAACCACAAACAAAACAACACACACACACACACACACACACACACAUACACACACAGAGCACCCUUGUCCCUAGCUUUAUCCUCUGGGAUACACAGGACAAGCUCCUCCCUGUUCUAUGUGCAACUUUUAAAAUAUGUGCAACUUUUAAAAUACGUGGAUGUGGCUUUCACAUCUUCUUAGUCCCUCUUUAGCAGAUUUUUUACAAAACAAAUAAGCCAGGAAACCAUGGUCUGAAAGGAUUCCUGCUCUGGUGAGAUCCAAGACCCACAGCGAGGGCGAAGACAGAGGUCUUGCUGCAGCCCCGGCUUCCUCCACAUGGAGGUCCCAGGAAGACGGCAUAAGCCAUUGCCUCGAUAAUAACCUGCUUGCUAACUUCCAGCCAGUGCUUCCACAUUUUCAUGACUUCCAAAGGUUCAGAUGAGGAUGGUAGUUGUGAGUUUGGGAUGAAGUCUUCUGAGCGACUCCUAUGGCCCAGCCACAGGGACCUGGGGCUGGAGAGAGAGGACCAUCCCAGGCUGCAGCAGCCAACACCUGUGUGGAGGUGCAGGCCCGUGGCCCCCAGCUGUGGUGGACACAGCUGUGCUUCCUGAUAGCACCCUUCCCUGCACCUACACCGUGACAUCCUCCUCCUCAGCCUGAGUGCAGGCACCACCUGAAGGGUAUUUGGGGGAGGGCACCAGUGUCCCCAAGGUAGGAGCUAGUGCAUAUGGCCUCGUCCUUCAGAGGGACAAUUCUGAGAGGCAAUCUGCGUGCUUUCAAAGGCCCAGAAACACACCCUGUGUUGCCUCCUCCCUGUCUGACUCUUCCUCUUCCUCCUGCUCCCUGGGACCAGCUCCCAAACAAACUCAAUUUCUUCUCUCAGUCGAAGUUUGCUAAGUGAGUGAAGAGUCAAAUAAAUGAUGUUGCUUAACUCUCCCUCUGAUGUGUGAAUGUCCUCUAGGAACAAGCCUUUUGUAGGAGAACUGUAGGCCAGGGCUGAGUGCACCUGGGAUGCAGGAUCUCCAGGGGGGACCUAUCACUUGUGCGAAUUUAAACCUGCUCAGAGCUUAGGGCCCGGCUCUGCUCAAGAUGGGCAGAAAUAAAGAAGACUAAACAUUUACAUCUCAAGAGUUUAUUUACCCUGGCCUGACUCUUCAAAAAAUGCCAUUGCUGCUACCCUGAGGAUUAACCAUGGCCAUUUUUAGACCAGGUGCCAUCCUGCCUUUAGCCUCGGGUCACCCCUCUGACUCACUGCCAGGAAACGGAGCCUAGACCCUGAUGUGUGGUGAGAAUUGGCCUGGUUUUCACCUGAGAUCCACACUUGAGAAAGCUGAUUGAACUCACAGCGUGCCAUCCUGCCUAAGAUCCUCUUCAGAGAUUCUAUUUCCCAGAGGGAGGGGAUCACUUUCCGCAGUGGGGUUUCUAUCUGGGACAUUUCUCUUCAUCUGUAGGAACCCUAUUUAAAGGCUAGAAAAUCUGAGGGAGAAGUGGAAAGAAGAAAGCUGUGUAGCUGUGACGAUGGCCUGGGACAUGGAUUCCCAAAGCCUGACCCUCCGCUGUGCCCCCUGCUCCCCAGCAGGCAUGGUUAGCCUGUCAUGGAACCCUGCACCUGAGCCUGGGCGAGCUCCAGAUUCCUCAGCACACAGAGCUCCAAGCUCCUCCUGCCAGGCCGCCAGGGCUGGCUCCCGAGAGAAUGCACAAGCCUUUUGUGGUGUCUGAGAAAACACAGCUGAAUCUACUAGGCAAGGGGUUGUAUAGGGCACCUCGGGAAGAAGUCGCACAGGUGCCCCCAGAGAUCUCAGGGGCAGGGAGGGGCUCACCCAUAAGGGAAGGGGAGGACUCAGAAGGCUUUGAGGAAGAGGCAGCUCCUAAAAUGGGUGAGGGCAGAGUGUGCCCUGAGGCCCCACAGCAGGCAAGCAGGUGACUGGAGAAGCAGCUAGGUCUGGUGCCUGUGUGCCAGGCUUGUAUGCCAGGGCUGGGCUGCAUGGGAUGCACAAUGCUACUGGGCCAGCACCAUCAGCAGUGUACUGCCCCUCACACCCAGGGCAGGCCUUGAAGCUAAGAGAGGGAUGGGGCAGUGCCCAUCGUUCUCCUGCCACUGGAGUGUGACCUUCUGGUGCCAUGACAGCCAGUGGGUGGCAGGUGCCUGCCCCUCUUCCCAUAGGCUGCCCCAGGAGGAAGAGGGGCCCGUUCCUGUGAGUAGAGCACAGUGAAACCACUCUCUUUUCUGCACAGUGAAAGAGACAUCCUUCACGGGGUGCAGAGAAGCUGCUGCCCUUUCCUCCCCGUCAGGCCAGAGUCUUCCCUACUCCCUGCUGGGGCCAGGGAGGACAGAGGCAGCCCUGAAGCUUCCUGUGGCUCAACUCUUGAAGGCUGCUCAGUUAGAGAAAAAGGAUGGUGCUGACCAUGGAGGAAUCUCACACACACUCCAGGCACCCUGCCUCUGCCUUGCUCUCUGCAGUGGCCACUGAGAACUCUUAGGAAUUGACCCUUGCUUCUUAGGCACUGGGCAUGAGAGAGGGCCCUCCCUUGCUGUGGGGGCCUCCCAAGACCAGGGAGGCUGGGCCUCUGGAGGUCUCCCCUGAAACUCCUUACCCAGCGGGAUCAUGCCCUGGGCCUUUGUGCCUGCCGGAAUCCUGGUGGGUGGAGGAAAUCCGUUACCCUCAUGAGAGCUACCUGCCUAGACCCCUGCUGACCUGACCUCACCUUUUGUUUGACCCAGGAACUUACCCGCCCCUUGCUGGGGGUUGGAACUGUCACAUGUCCUAAGCCAGCAUGAACAGGCAGGAUAGUUAGGCUGACUGUGAUUGUGCUGGCCAUGAUGCUCGACUUGGCCCUAGGCUUGACUUUGUUUCAUCUGUAAUAGUCUCCAUUUUUUCUUGCUGUGAAGUAAGCCACCUCAAAACUUAGUGGCUUAAAACAGCAGUUUAUUCUUCUUCCCUACCAUGGGUUGAGUGUGUGGUCCUUCUGCUGUGCUUGAUGUGACUGUGUGGCGUCGUCACAGGGGGGCUUAAAUGGGGUGAGACACCAAGCAUGGCUCAUUCAGAGGCCCAGUGCUUUGGGGAACGGCCAGGAGGCUGCACUCAGCCAGGACCCUCAGCGUCAUCUCAGGGUCUCUGCCUCUCUUCGUGGCCUCUCCAUGUGGACUUUUUAAUUACAUGGCAGCUCAGCACUCCCAGAGCACAAAUAGGAGCUCUAUCUGUAGGAGGUGGCCAGGCCUUCUACAGCCACAGGCCCAGGUCCCUUCCACCACAGCAUGUGGGUCACAGACCUGCCCUGACUCACACAGUGGAAGGCAACAGGGCAGCAUGCACACCGAAAGCCAUCACUGGAUCCUGUGUUUACAGCAUCUCAAUUCCACAGCAACACCCGAGUUUCCAUCAAGGAGGCAAUGAAGACCCAGCCCGGGCAGCAGGAGGCAGCGGUGUUAUCAGGGGCCCACUCGUUCUGAGGGACCAUAAAAAUACUAGGAAAAGAUCAUUUUUCAUCUUGACUACUUAACAAUCUUACAGUUUUAUUAUAGUCUUAAAGCUCCUGGCCAGGGUUUUAUCUUUGGGAAGUAUCUCUUUAUGUGCCAAGUGCCACCAAACAGCAUCUGUUGGUGCCUCCUCCUACAGGAAGCAAGUGCCUCCUCAUACAGGAAGCACUGGCAUUAGGAACACCCUGUAUUUCUCGCCUGCAGCUGCACUGUGUCACUCACUGAUGUCAUUCUCCUAUCUGAAGGGCUCAGGGUCCACUCUCCAGCCUGACCUGCUGCGAGGUCACUUAGCUAAGACCAGCUAAAAAUAGCAACUGUUGCUCAGAAGCACCGGCUCUGCAUCAUGGGCUCACCCUGACGCCUAUGCCUCCCCGGGGACAGGGCCGCACGAUGGAGGAAGAGCCGACUGAGCCAGCUCCAGCCACCUUCUCCAAGCACAGGACCUUGUGAGCUGUGAGCUGACUAACAGCUUCAGCAUCGAGCUUUGGGGGAUAUUAAUGCUUAGCUGAUAAGCAUUAAUCAUAUCCCACUUAAGUAAUGGUUGGGCCAAUUUCUGUUUUCAAUUAAGAAUAAAAUGUAAGCAUUUGGUUCAUAUAUAAGCAAUCUUCAGUGAAUGGUAAAUUAUUAUUUUGGGAAAAAAAGUAAAAUGGACAUGUACUUAGAACUAAACUCAGAGCCUUGGGCAGUGUCUAGGAUUUCUCUUUGGAAGUUGGAUUGGGAAGAGGAUGUGCCUGGGAGCUUAUUGGAUCUGAGGGGUGGGAGGAGACUUCCCCAGAUCCACCGCACUGCCACAGUCUCUCUCAAGGCAUCUCCAAAGGUGGCAUCCCAACCUCAAAGUGACAGAAGAAGAAUCAUGGGCCAUCGGCGGCACUGGUUUUCUAGGUUGUGUUAUAAUUUUCAUUUCCCCAUAGAUGAAAAAUGUCAAUUGUGUUCAUCUUGAAGGCUAUGUUAGAAUUAGAAUGCUAUUAAAAUUUUCAUGGAUAAUCUUAAAAAAAUGCAAUGAUGAACAUAACUACCUCCUAGAAAUUGUGUUUCUUUCUUCCUUUAAAGUGAAAAAAAAUAUUACCUGUUGCUACCCUGUUCACCAUUAGCCUUCAACGUGAAUGGUGCAAAGCAUUUUCAGUGUUAAGGCGGUUAAAAUGGUCUUUUAGGAACAGCUUAGACAUUAGCAGAAUGCCUUCCUUAUUCUAUCACCGUAUUAGGAGAAACAAGCAGAGCCCCCACCCCAAGCCUGUAUUCUGUCCACUCCCAGUAGGUAUCAGACAGAAAUCUGCGAAGCCCCUCAGUGCUUUAGGUGAAUCGGUGCUGACAUCAGCUCUGAACUUUCCUUCUUCCACCCAGGUCUGACAGAGGACAGGUGAGCAAAUCUCCUCAAAGCAAGUCAGACAGAGCCUGGCACCGCAAGAUCAGGGGAGAGGUCUUCAGAAACAGCAGGCUGACAUUCUCCCCUUCCCAGAGGAGAAAAAGGCCCUCUAACUGAGAAACAGUUUCACCAUCAGUGGACAGCUCUCCCAUGCUCAGCCCAUGCCCUGAGAGGCCAGAACCCCAGUGCAGGCCACGCACCCACAUCCACUCCUCAUGUUAGAGGUUGUGUGCGACUGCUAGGGCUGCUGGGUAGACUGUGUGGCUUCAACUACAGGCCUUGAUUUCCUCACAAUUCUGGAGGCCAGAAGUCUGAGAUCCAGGUGCCAGCAGGGUGGGUUUCUUCUGAGGCCUCCCUCCUCAGCUUGCCAACGUCCAUCUUCUCUCUGUGUCCUCACAGGGCCCUUCCUGUGUGUCUGGAUCCUAAUCUCCUCUUAUUGUUAAAGAUACCACUGAGAUUGGAUUAAGACCCAGCCCAAUGACCUCAUUUUACCUUAGUCACCACUCUAAAGGCCCUAUCUACAAUACAGUCCCAUUCUGAGGUACCAGGAGUCAAGGCUUCAACACAGGAAUUUUAGGGGAGACAGAAUUUAGUCUCUAACAGAGGUCAUCUCAUUUAAACCCUUGGACUUGAAAGUGUACUCCUCAUCUGAACUGCUGCAGGUAAGGAUGGGAAUUAAGAGACCCAAGGAGGAGUGACUGUUGUAUCAGGACAAGCUUGCUGAAUUGAAAUGAAAAACAGAAAUCUGUCCAUUGUGCCAGUCCCAUUCCCUCUGGACUCAGCUCUAACAAGGUUUGGAAGGCCAAACUCCCAGAUGCUGAAAGACAAUGAAGUUUAAAAACAAGUCCAUUGGUGGCAUCCAGAUCAGAGUUUCCAAUCAGAUACCUGGUCCUCUACGAUUUUCACACCCAGCAGGGAGGAGAGCAGGCAGCCCUUUCUUUCCACACUCCCUGCCCACUUCACAACAAUAGUUGGGAAUGUGUUUCUGUGAAAGAAGUUCACAGCCAGCCACAGUGGCUCAUGUUUGUAACCUUGCACUUUAGAAGGCGAGGCAGAAGGGUUGCUUGAGCCCAGGAGUUCCAGGUUACAGUGAGCUAUGAUUGCGCCACUGCAC
RNAcentral lists this long non-coding RNA (8109 nucleotides) under Homo sapiens (human). RNAcentral describes it as "long non-coding RNA NONHSAT188585.1". Lineage: Eukaryota; Metazoa; Chordata; Mammalia; Primates; Hominidae. The record is from RNAcentral.